UACGUAGGUGACCAGCGUUGUCCGGAUUUACUGGGCGUAAAGAGCGCUCAGGCGGUCGUUCAAGUCGAGUGUGAAAGCCCCCGGCUCAACUGGGGAGGGUCAUUCGAUACUGAUCGACUUGAAGGCAGGAGAGGGAAGCGGAAUUCCCGGUGUAGUGGUGAAAUGCGUAGAUAUCGGGAGGAACACCAGUGGCGAAGGCGGCUUCCUGGCCUGUUCUUGACGCUGAGGCGCGAAAGCUAGGGGAGCAAACGGG
Molecule: ribosomal RNA, 253 nt
Filed under: uncultured bacterium
Lineage: Bacteria
Description: partial 16S ribosomal RNA
Rfam family: Bacterial small subunit ribosomal RNA
Source: RNAcentral